GAUGAACGCUGGCGGCGUGCUUAACACAUGCAAGUCGAGCGAAGCGCUUUUGCGGAUUUCUUCGGAUUGAAGCAACUGUGACUGAGCGGCGGACGGGUGAGUAACGCGUGGGUAACCUACCUCAUACAGGGGGAUAACAGUUGGAAACGGCUGCUAAUACCGCAUAAGCGCACAGUACCGCAUGGUACCGUGUGAAAAACUCCGGUGGUAUGAGAUGGACCCGCGUCUGAUUAGCUAGUUGGUGGGGUAACGGCCUACCAAGGCGACGAUCAGUAGCCGACCUGAGAGGGUGACCGGCCACAUUGGGACUGAGACACGGCCCAAACUCCUACGGGAGGCAGCAGUGGGGAAUAUUGCACAAUGGGGGAAACCCUGAUGCAGCGACGCCGCGUGAGCGAUGAAGUAUUUCGGUAUGUAAAGCUCUAUCAGCAGGGAAGAAAAUGACGG
RNAcentral lists this ribosomal RNA (447 nucleotides) under uncultured bacterium. Its description in RNAcentral is "bacterial SSU rRNA". It matches the Rfam family "Bacterial small subunit ribosomal RNA", at positions 28 to 457 of the family's 1533-position model. The record is from RNAcentral.